This 1309-nucleotide long non-coding RNA is filed under the name Corvus moneduloides (New Caledonian crow). RNAcentral describes it as "lncRNA (ENSCMUG00000018005.1)". The record is from RNAcentral. Lineage: Eukaryota; Metazoa; Chordata; Aves; Passeriformes; Corvidae.
AUGCCGGACUGGUCCCAGUCACUGCUGCACCACAUCCCUGGCACAGGAGCUCUGCCUGAGGCUGUUCCUGCCCGUGCUGAGCUGGGAGCUCGGGAUAACCCCCACAGGCAGGGCCAGAGCCCGAGGGUCCUUUGUAGCUCCCCAGAUGGGAUCCUUCAUCUCCUCCCUGUGUCCUGGGAGUGGGUGGGAUGGGACAUCCCCUCUCCCACCUGCCCAGGAGGUGCCUGUGGCUGUGACAGGGCUCCCGGGGACGGGGACAGGGACAUCAGAGGGGUCAGAGGGCAACAGACCUGUCCCAACACUGGCAAAAAGGGAUUUUCACUGGGAUUGUCUGAGCGCUGCUGCUCCCAGGGGGAUUUCUCAUCCUCUCUCCUUACCUGUGCCUGGCAGACUUCUGCUCCACCUCUGCACCCCCAGCACCCACAUCCAUCCCUCCAUCACCCAUCCGUCCCUCCCACAGCUGGCUCAGACACCCGGGGCUGGGGUCAAACAGCCUUGUCCCCUCCCCGUGCUCUCCGGCGGUGUCACAGAGGGACAAACCCCCUGGCAGGUGCCCCUGAGAGCCGCACCCCGUGCCCGGGGCAGCCCCUGCGCUCGGGGCCGGGGCUGAGCUGCCUUUUGUGGUGCUCGGGCCCCGGUGAUUGGGCGCUAUUUUGCUCCGGCUCCCCUCGGCAGCUGUUGCUGUUCUUUACCCGGGAGAGCCGGGGCCGCCCGGGGGCUGCAGCCGAGCAGGAGGCGGCGGCCGACCCCAGAUGCCAACGCUCCGGUGAGCAGCGACAGCCACGGGGACAGCGGUGGAGCCCAUGGAAUAGAGGAGCAGAGCCCCCCGCGCGGUGUCUCCGAGCAGGAGCCGGACAUGCCAGAGCCAGCCCCGCUCGGCGGGGACAGGAAAGCGGCGGAGAAGAAGCGGGUGGAGAAGGUGGGAGCCAAGGGCAGCGCUGCCGGGCCUCCAGUCCCCAGAACCCUCCCCGUGCAGAGCAAGGUGGAGCCGCCCAGCCUGGACCCUGCGGAGGAGCCGCUGCUCUGGGAAGGGCUCACCCUCAACAAGUGCAUCCUGGUGGCCUCCGUGGUCGCCCUGCUCAGCGUCACCUUCCAGGUGCUCCAAGCGCCAUGCUCCAAGGAGGGAAUCGCCCGCGGCCGGCAGGAACCUCCGCCCCCUCCCAUUCCCGAGGUCGUCAGCCCCAAGGUGGAGGAGAUCCCAGAGGUGGUGACGGCCCAGCCUGCGCCGCCGCCGCCGGAGAGCAGCGCGGUGGAGGAUGAUGGUGAUGACGAAGACGGUGACGAUGACAGCGAAGCUGACAGCAACCUG